This is a long non-coding RNA of Dreissena polymorpha, 619 nucleotides long. RefSeq lists it as uncharacterized. The record is from RefSeq and is a predicted model, not a curated record. The transcript has 3 exons. Lineage: Eukaryota; Metazoa; Mollusca; Bivalvia; Myida; Dreissenidae.
UCUAUCCUCAUCAUAUGCAUCUUCCAUCUGACUUUUACUACUACACGGACAAAUGCAAUUCUUCAGCCGAAGAUUUGUUAGAACUACAAGAAAACUUCGUUAUGGCCCUAAACACAUAAAGAUUUUGUGAAUACUGUCGUUAUAACCAAGACUGCCAGGCAAGGUAUGUAAGUGCCUCAUGUCCCACUGGCAGUUAUCAAAAUACUCCUAACAGCGUCGUCUGUAAAACCUGUCCGCCUGCCAGUAAUACCACUUCAAAUGCGUCGACUGGCAUCACACAACGUAAAGCUUAUUGUCCUCCCGGUGAAUAUUCUCCUAACGGAUUGUCGCCUUGUGCCAAAUGUCCCAGCAACUCCUACCAAUAUUCUGCAAUGUCCAGGGGAUGCUUGGCAUGUCCAUCUGGGACACGUACACCUGCAGAAGGGGCGACAUCGAAAUCUUGUUGUAUACGUUUGUAUAAACACAGAGCUUAAUAUGAUGUUCAAGUUUCAAGUGCUUUAACGGUCGAGACAAACGCUACAGCUAGUGAGCUUACCGUAACAACAUGGAUUUUACUCAGAAUAAAUCAGUCGCAACACUUUUCCGUGAUCACCUUGUCUGGUACCCAUAGCUUUGUAUU